RNAcentral lists this ribosomal RNA (119 nucleotides) under Phaseolus vulgaris (common bean). The record is from RNAcentral. Lineage: Eukaryota; Viridiplantae; Streptophyta; Magnoliopsida; Fabales; Fabaceae.
AGGUGCGAUCAUACUAGCACUAAUACACCGGAUCCCAUCAAAACUCCGCAGUCAAGCGUGCUUGGGCGAGAGUAGUACUAGGAUGGGUGACCUCCUGGAAAGUCCUCGUGUUGCACUUG